This 253-nucleotide ribosomal RNA is filed under the name uncultured bacterium. RNAcentral describes it as "partial 16S ribosomal RNA". It matches the Rfam family "Bacterial small subunit ribosomal RNA", at positions 524 to 776 of the family's 1533-position model. The record is from RNAcentral.
UACGUAGGCAGCAAGCGUUGUUCGGAAUUACUGGGCGUAAAGAGUGUGUAGGCGGUGCUCUAAGUUCGGGGUGAAAUCUCCCGGCUCAACUGGGAGGGUGCGCCGGAAACUGGAAUGCUUGAGCGUGGGAGAGGAAAGCGGAAUUCCUGGUGUAGCAGUGAAAUGCGUAGAUAUCAGGAGGAACACCUGCGGUGUAGACGGCUUUCUGGACCAUUGCUGACGCUGAGACACGAAAGCGUGGGUAGCAAACAGG